This 301-nucleotide ribosomal RNA is filed under the name uncultured bacterium. RNAcentral describes it as "partial 16S ribosomal RNA". It matches the Rfam family "Bacterial small subunit ribosomal RNA", at positions 509 to 807 of the family's 1533-position model. The record is from RNAcentral.
CAGCAGCCACGGGAAUACGAAGGGGGCUAGCGUUGCUCGGAAUCACUGGGCGUAAAGGGUGCGUAGGCGGGUCUUUAAGUCAGGGGUGAAAUCCUGGAGCUCAACUCCAGAACUACCUUUGAUACUGAAGAUCUUGAGUUCGGGAGAGGUGAGUGGAACUGCGAGUGUAGAGGUGAAAUUCGUAGAUAUUCGCAAGAACACCAGUGGCGAAGGCGGCUCACUGGCCCGAUACUGACGCUGAGGCACGAAAGCGUGGGGAGCAAACAGGAUUAGAUACCCCCGUAGUCCCUGUCUCUUAUAC